CCCUUAGAUGUUCUGGGCCGCACGCGCGCUACACUGACGGAGGCAGCGAGCGUGUCCUUCGCCGGCAGGUGCGGGCAAUCUUGCGAGUCUCCGUCGUGCUGGGGAUAGAUGGUUGCAAUUGUCGAUCUUGAACGAGGAAUUCCUAGUAAGCGCGAGUCAUCAGCUCGCGCUGAUUACGUCCCUGCCCUUUGUACACACCGCCCGUCGCUACUACAGAGUGCCCGUGUCCAAGAAACGGUCGGACCUGUGCGGCCUCUCCGGGCGACCGGAGGGCCGUUACGGGGAAGACCCUUUAUUUGACGCGGGUCGAUGAAGUAAAAGUCGUAAC
Molecule: ribosomal RNA, 328 nt
Filed under: uncultured eukaryote
Lineage: Eukaryota
Description: partial 18S ribosomal RNA
Rfam family: Eukaryotic small subunit ribosomal RNA
Source: RNAcentral